Long non-coding RNA from Apis laboriosa (Himalayan honeybee), 380 nucleotides. RefSeq lists it as uncharacterized. NCBI's taxonomy places the organism in Eukaryota, Metazoa, Arthropoda, Insecta, Hymenoptera, Apidae. The record is from RefSeq and is a predicted model, not a curated record. The transcript has 3 exons.
CGAAAACAGCGUUACUCAAUGAAACAGUUCACUUUCGAUUCAAUUUACCUGUUAUACGCUGCUCUUGAUGCUCGAAAGAAAUGGCAUUAACCACGAAAACCCAUUCUUUUGAUCAAUUUUCUUCGUUGCCGUUCUUCCGAGGCUCUUCGAUCACUCCGCUCGAGUUCAUGGUGUCGUAAUGAGGUUGAGAAUUGACCACAACCGUAUUACAUAUCGCCAAUACGAUUAGAAAUUCUUGAAGAUGUUGCCUAAAUGUACCUAUAAGAAGAUCUUCCUUCAAUCGCGAAGAAGUGAGCGUGCCAGUUUUAUCAGAGAAUAUAUACUGCACCUAUAUUAAGAAUAAAAAAAAAAAAAAAAGAAGAAAAAAAAAAAGGGAAAAA